GUGGGGAAUCUUAGACAAUGGGGGCAACCCUGAUCUAGCCAUGCCGCGUGAGUGAUGAAGGCCUUAGGGUCGUAAAGCUCUUUCGCUGGGGAAGAUAAUGACGGUACCCAGUAAAGAAACCCCGGCUAACUCCGUGCCAGCAGCCGCGGUAAUACGGAGGGGGUUAGCGUUGUUCGGAAUUACUGGGCGUAAAGCGCACGUAGGCGGAUUGGAAAGUUGGGGGUGAAAUCCCGGGGCUCAACCCUGGAAUGGCCUUCAAAACUCCCAGUCUUGAGGUCGAGAGAGGUGAGUGGAAUUCCGAGUGUAGAGGUGAAAUUCGUAGAUAUUCGGAGGAACACCAGUGGCGAAGGCGGCUCACUGGCUCGAUACUGACGCUGAGGUGCGAAAGCGUGGGGAGCAAACAGGAUUAGAAACCCCGGUAGUCC
This 425-nucleotide ribosomal RNA is filed under the name uncultured bacterium. RNAcentral describes it as "partial 16S ribosomal RNA". It matches the Rfam family "Bacterial small subunit ribosomal RNA", at positions 354 to 796 of the family's 1533-position model. The record is from RNAcentral.